RNAcentral lists this ribosomal RNA (553 nucleotides) under uncultured bacterium. RNAcentral's name for it is "partial 16S ribosomal RNA". It matches the Rfam family "Bacterial small subunit ribosomal RNA", at positions 357 to 900 of the family's 1533-position model. The record is from RNAcentral.
GGGAAUAUUGCACAAUGGGCGCAAGCCUGAUGCAGCCAUGCCGCGUGUGUGAAGAAGGCCUUCGGGUUGUAAAGCACUUUCAGCGAGGAGGAAGGGUUCAGUGUUAAUAGCACUGUUCAUUGACGUUACUCGCAGAAGAAGCACCGGCUAACUCCGUGCCAGCAGCCGCGGUAAUACGGAGGGUGCAAGCGUUAAUCGGAAUUACUGGGCGUAAAGCGCACGCAGGCGGUUUGUUAAGUCAGAUGUGAAAUCCCCGCGCUUAACGUGGGAACUGCAUUUGAAACUGGCAAGCUAGAGUCUUGUAGAGGGGGGUAGAAUUCCAGGUGUAGCGGUGAAAUGCGUAGAGAUCUGGAGGAAUACCGGUGGCGAAGGCGGCCCCCUGGACAAAGACUGACGCUCAGGUGCGAAAGCGUGGGGAGCAAAACAGGAUUAGAUACCCUGGUAGUCCACGCUGUAAACGAUGUCGACUUGGAGGUUGUGCCCUUGAGGCGUGGCUUCCGGAGCUAACGCGUUAAGUCGACCGCCUGGGGGAGUACGGCCGCAAGGUUAAAAC